This 233-nucleotide ribosomal RNA is filed under the name uncultured bacterium. Its description in RNAcentral is "partial 16S ribosomal RNA". It matches the Rfam family "Bacterial small subunit ribosomal RNA", at positions 118 to 350 of the family's 1533-position model. The record is from RNAcentral.
UGGGCAACCUGCCCCUGACUCUGGGAUAACCCCGGGAAAACCGGAGCUAAUACCGGAUACGACGAGGAGAGUCCUCUCUUUCUCGUGGAAAGGUUUACUGGUCAGGGAUGGGCCCGCGGCCUAUCAGCUUGUUGGUGGGGUCAUGGCUCACCUAGGCGACGACGGGUAGCUGGUCUGAGAGGAUGGCCAGCCACAUUGGGACUGAGACACGGCCCAGACUCCUACGGGAGGCA